GAUGAACGCUGGCGGCGUGCCUAAUACAUGCAAGUCGAGCGAACGGACGAGAAGCUUGCUUCUCUGAUGUUAGCGGCGGACGGGUGAGUAACACGUGGAUAACCUACCUAUAAGACUGGGAUAACUUCGGGAAACCGUAGCUAAUACCGGAUAAUAUUUUGAACCGCAUGGUUCAAAAGUGAAAGACGGUCUUGCUGUCACUUAUAGAUGGAUCCGCGCUGCAUUAGCUAGUUGGUAAGGUAACGGCUUACCAAGGCAACGAUGCAUAGCCGACCUGAGAGGGUGAUCGGCCACACUGGAACUGAGACACGGUCCAGACUCCUACGGGAGGCAGCAGUAGGGAAUCUUCCGCAAUGGGCGAAAGCCUGACGGAGCACCGCCGCGUGAGUGAUGAAGGUCUUCGGAUCGUAAAACUCUGUUAUUAGGGAAGAACAUAUGUGUAAGUACCUGUGCACAUCUUGACGGUACCUAAUCAGAAAGCCACGGCUAACUACGUG
RNAcentral lists this ribosomal RNA (497 nucleotides) under uncultured bacterium. RNAcentral's name for it is "partial 16S ribosomal RNA". It matches the Rfam family "Bacterial small subunit ribosomal RNA", at positions 28 to 507 of the family's 1533-position model. The record is from RNAcentral.